This 510-nucleotide ribosomal RNA is filed under the name uncultured bacterium. RNAcentral's name for it is "bacterial SSU rRNA". It matches the Rfam family "Archaeal small subunit ribosomal RNA", at positions 339 to 851 of the family's 1478-position model. The record is from RNAcentral.
CUGCGAAACCUUCGCAAUGUGGGAAACCACGACGAGGGAAUUCCAAGUGCUAAUGCAAUGCAUUAGCUGUUCUCCUGUCUAAAAAACAGGUGAAGUAAGGGCUGGGUAAGACGGGUGCCAGCCGCCGCGGUAAUACCCGCAGCCCGAGUGGUGCUCGAUUUUAUUGAGCUUAAAGCGUACGUAGCCGGUCAUGUAAAUCCUUGGGUAAAUCGGGCAGCUUAACUGUUCGAAUUCCGAGGAGACUGCGAGGCUCGGGACCGGGAGAGGUUCGAGGUACUCCGGGGGUAGGGGUAAAAUCCUGUAAUCCUCAGAGGACCACCAGUGGCGAAGGCGUCGAACUAGAACGGAUCCGACGGUGAGGGACGAAGCCCUGGGGCGCAAACGGGAUUAGAUACCCCGGUAGUCCAGGGUGUAAACGCUGCGGGUUUGGUGUCGGAGGUCCUACGCGGGCGUCCGGUGCCGGAGAGAAAUUGUUAAACCUGCCGCUUGGGGAGUACGGUCGCAAGACUG